AGUAGGCCAAGUACGUCUGAUGCAGUAGAACAUAAAUCUGGUGGCAGACUCUGUCCGAUCACGAACGAGGGCAGAACAGUUACCAAAUCAAUCCCAUUUUCUUUGCAGAAAUCCCAUGCCGCCUUCUCAGCUAAAAUUUUUGAUAAAGGGUACCAAAUCUUUUGUAAUAGGUAGGUUAAUCAGUCACAUGGAUUACAUAUAAUGUACAUACCAUAACCAAAUAUGGAGCUUAAGUAAUGUUCUAGCAUAGAUCAUUAUAGUUCUGCAUUGCUUUGCUUUGCAGCUGUUAGAAUUAUAUAUAAAAAGAGCAGCAUUCAAAGUUACUUUGAAUUCACAAAGGCCAUAGGAUUUGAUGUGAAUUUGGUGAUGAUCAUGACAGAAUUUAAACUUCAACAAGGACAGAAUGCUACCUGAAGUGUCUUGCAGAAUUCAACAGAGCUCCACGACGACUCAUCCAGCAGUAUAUUGGAGUCGAAAUCCUCAUCUGGUCUCACCCUUACAGCUGUAGAAGAUGAGGUGAGAACCACACGCCUUAGAGAUGGAUUUUUCUUGCACGAACGUAGCACAUUCAAUGUACCCUCAACAGCUGGUUCCAGGAUUUCUGUCUGUGCACAGAUGACACAUAAUAGUUACAACAAUACUCAAUUUGUGUGGAGUGGUAUUCAUUUUAGGCCAAUUGUGAUCACUUGCAAAAUAUUUUGUAGCUUGUCCUCAGCACACUCUUUAGCUUCCAAGGUUGCUUCAUCAUUCGAAAUUUCAGGACCUGUAACUAUUGUUGAGAUAGAGUCAUCAUCUCUGCUUUUAUCAUUGUUGAGUAUUGAUUUUGAGUGGUAUGGAGUUGUACACUUUUAUCGUACUUAUUAUGCAAAUGAAAUGAUGUAGUUGUUAACUUCUAAUAAGUGGUAUAAAUAGUUGUUAUAAUGUUCAUACCCUGCAACUGAGUUGAUUUCUAUGACAUAGUAUUAACAGUGUAUGACAUAAUAUUAAUAGAUUUUCACUAACAAAGCAUGCUCUAUAUAUAGUUGUGCACUUGAAGUUUAUGAUAUGCAUAAUAUGAUUUUUACUAGGAAGAUAGUUUUAUGACAUAGUAUUAACAGUGUACUCUUUUUUUUCUUCUUGUAGAGGUAUUUCCUUUUGCCUUUGUGAUUGUUUCUAGUGAAACUGUGGACAAUUAAAUGUGGUUUCUGCAAAGGAUAUCGAAUGUCUUGCUAGGCUUUUUUGGAUUUUUUAAAUAUAGUUUUUUGUAUAAAAUGUACUUCUAUAACAUGGUAUUAACAAUGUACUUCUAUGAUAUGGUAUUAACAAUGUACUUUGGGCUUGCUGGGCUUGUUUUGGAUUUUUUUUGAGUUUUUUGUGUUGGGCUUGUUUUAAGUUAAUCAAUGGCGAUCAUGUAAUUUAUAGGAACUUCAACACUCAUUUCUUUUGUAGUAAAUGGUUUUUGGGUAUAUUUCUAUAGUGCAUUCCAUGUGGGGGUUAUUUAUUUAUUUUUUAUUAUAUAAUUUUAGCCCCUAUUUUGGGUAUACUACUAAAGCUCUUUUUUCUUUUUCUGUUUAAAAUUUUUAUUUUUUUAAUAAAAUGAGGGAGCUAUUAAAAAACACAACCAAAAAAAAAAAAAGGAGGGGAGGUUGAGACCCGAAGAUCUUGAUCCUCAAUAUAGGGCCAACAGUUCCUAAAUUCAUGAAAAAAGGCCAGAAUAUCCUUUUUCUAUUAGGUGGUGGUUUUAUCCCCACAUUUAUUUAUUUAUAUUUAAAGUAUGGAAUAGAAUUAGUACUCAUACAAGCAGACGAUUUAUUGUCCAUACCAGCAAUUUAUUUACAAACAAUUUAUAGCAAUUUAUUUUAUGAAUUAAUUGUGCAUUAUGAUGAGUUUUACAACAUACACAGAUCAUGACCAAAAGUUUCUUGAUCCUCAUCAUACAACUACAUCAGGACAUGAAGAUCCUUGAUAAUGAUAAUGAUAAUAAUACGAGAGAUGACAGUCUCUCCGGAACUAUAUUUGCAAAAAAGUAAUUGGACCUGAAGAUCCUUAACAUAUAAACCAAGACCUGAAGCUCCUUGAUAAUGUAAUGGUGUCGUACACUGUACACAUGAAUAGUAAAUAUACUGGCAAAUGUAUUAUACAUGAAUAGUAACCAUUUUGGGUGAACUGUUACUACAUACAAAAAGGGACAUGCAAUUCCUUAAACUCAUAAAAGAGCAAUUAAACGAUAAACCAGAAGUUUCAACUAUUUAUUUUACAUCAGUUUAAUUAUUGUCUUACUUUUAUUAUUGUAUUUUAUUUAUUUCAUUUCAGUAUUAUAUAUGUAUGGAUAAGAAAUUCAAAAUAUGAAAUGAAGUUCAAACAUCUCAAUUAUGUCAAAAACCAGAAGUUUUGAGAACAUUUACAUAAAUGUAAAUGUGGAGUUCAAAGCACAAUUAUUAAUUUAUUAUUGAAUCCACAAGUUUGAACCUGAAGCUUCGAAUAUAUGAAACUAGAUGUUCAGGAAUAUAUCAUUAACCUGAAGUUCAUUGGUUAUGUGUGCUUAUUUGGAAUUUAAUUCAUGGAACCUGAAGUUCUAUAUAUAUGAAAUAAAUUUGCAAGAACCCGAAGUUCUGUAGACAAACAUACAUAUGUUUACAUAGAAUAUGAAGUUCUGCAUUUUUGAUAUCAUGAUUAAGAAAUUAUAAGAUCAAAUUUACAAAGAACCUAAAGUUUCUUGGUCACUCGUAUGAUUUCAAAAAUGGACCAGAAGUUCAUAUGAUUUAAAGAUUCAGUGGAUACUAUAUUCAUAUUAUUAUGGAGAAUUGGAACUUGCAGUUCUAUAUUACAAAGGAGAAAAAUUACAUAAUUAAAAUUGCAUUAGAUGUUUAGUGCCUCAGAGUCAGAAUUUAGGCAUCUACCGGAGAAUUUUUGUGUUCCUCAUGUGUAUUUUCUUCAGAAACCUGCAACACAAAAUCAAGUUUCUCCAAAUCUUUAUUUAUUUUCUCUAGACACCUGACAACCAUCCUUAUUAUUUGAAUUCGAGUUCCACAAAAUCUAUUCUCUCCACUUAAGCUUGUCGACCACGUUCAGGUAUUCAAUCCGACCUUUGAGAUAUUUUUAUUUAUGAAAAGAUUCAAUUCUUAUCGUUUUACUCUUUACUGAAUUUACGGACUGUCUUAUUGAGAAUUUUGUCAAAAUUAAUCUGAUUGAUUUGAGACUAACGUGUGGUUUAUAUUGAAGCCACUUGUUUUCUAUAUUCAAAAGCAAGUUUUUAUUUUCUAAUUAUUUUUGGAAUUCAAACUUGGUAUCUGUUCAUCUACAUGAAGUGAGAAAAUUCUCAAGAUAGUAAGCGCUACGCAUUAUCGAGGUGAGAAAAUUCUCAAAACUUUAUUGAUAAAGUAUUGAUAACAUGAACUCGAACUUUGCCGAAACACGAUAUUUGAGAUAGCGUAACUAGAGAGUAAGAUGACCUUGCUCAACCAAUGAGGCAAUACAAUCAUCAAACAUCUCUUGGAUAGUCUUGAACUUGAACCCUAGACUCUUCAACUUUGAGGUGUUCAAAUCAUACCUUGGCCUGCCUAGUUGCUCAAACCUGAAAAUUCCCAUGUACACAUUAAACUUAAUAACAGUUCGUAAUCUUCUGUUUUCCAUAAAAUUAUUUUGAAUCUUUUACUUAAUUUAAUUCCCAUGUCGACUAGCUAGCUCUCUAUUUGUUGUUUUUACUACUUAUAUCUGGAGGAAAAAAAAUCAAACCUUUUGGGGAUAGGUAAGGAAGGAUAUUGCCUGGAUAACAAGGAAGCCAACUCAUUGUUGUCCAAAACUGUUGAGCUGCAAAGGUAUCGACCAUGAGCACUUUCAUGCUCAUAAACUGAGAUGUGGCAAAGUGCAACAUCAUCAAUGUGAACAUAUCCCAUCCUUCCAUGCCACUUGAACUUCUCUGUUUCCCCUGCUUUAUUGUUCAAACAAAUCGGCGCUUAACAAUCAUAUAAACGGAAUUAGUAGUUAAACCAAGAAUGAGUACCUUUAAGCAGGCCAAGUACGUCUGAUGCAGUAGAACAUAAAUCUGAUGGCAGACAAGGUCCGAUCACGAACGAGGGCAGAACAGUUACCAAAUCAAUCCCAUUUUCUUUGCAGAAAUCCCAUGCCGCCUUCUCAGCUAAAAUUUUCGAUAAAGGGUACCAAAUCU
RNAcentral lists this long non-coding RNA (4147 nucleotides) under Prunus persica (peach). Its description in RNAcentral is "long non-coding RNA (PPER_LNC008432)". Lineage: Eukaryota; Viridiplantae; Streptophyta; Magnoliopsida; Rosales; Rosaceae. The record is from RNAcentral.